CAGUUUUGACAAUGCAUCGUCUUUCCAUGGAAAAAAAAAACGUUGAUUGACAAUGCAUCAUCUUUCCAAGAAGAAAAAACAUUGACAAUGCAUCGCAAACCAAGUACAGGAGAACAGACAAGCACAUUGAAACUUCUCAGAUGUAUCUUCAGACACAGGGUUCACCGACGAACAAAGCUGACAGUGAUACAUCUUACUGUUAUGCUGCUGAAAUCUGGGAAGCUGAAGUUUUUCCUGAGCUUAAAAGGAGAAAAAGGUAAAUUAGCAGGCUUUCUGCUUCUUUCUUGUACAAAGUUAAGCAAAACUGCUAUGUUUGUAUCAAUUUGUAACUCUGCCCCUCUUGCACGUGGUGCAAGUUGAGGCUCCUGUCUAAUUGCUUGAAUCUUUUUUGUACUUCUCAGGCUUGAGAACUCCGACAUAAGGCAGGUUGCGGUAGAGCUCUGCAUAAUCCAGACCAUAACCAACAACAAAGUAGUCCGGACACUGAAAAGGACAAAAGCAAAUUAGCACUUGCAAGAUGGGGAAGGGCAGCUUAGUAGAGCUUUUCAUCACUAUAUUUGUUUACCAGAAAAAAAACUACAUAAUUCUCUAGUUUGCAUCUUUCACUGGUAAUAAAUAUAGUUUGCUUGAUCUAUGUAACAAUGUACUGUUUUCGUAGCAAUUUUUUUUAAAAGAUUUUGGUAGCGAUUUUUUAAAGAAGAUUGUGACAUAGAAUGAUACUAAAAGGAGAUCAUAAUUGUACCUCAAA
Molecule: long non-coding RNA, 748 nt
Organism: Panicum virgatum (switchgrass)
Lineage: Eukaryota; Viridiplantae; Streptophyta; Magnoliopsida; Poales; Poaceae
Exons: 2
Source: RefSeq, a predicted model, not a curated record